AGCGAACGCUGGCGGCAGGCCUAACACAUGCAAGUCGAACGGAUACUUCGUAAUGAGUGGCGGUCGGGUGAGUAACGCGUGGGACCGUGGCGUGAGGUACGGGACAAUACAGGGACAGUUGAGCUAAUAUCGGAAGUGCCAUUCGGAGGAAAGAUUUCACGCCAUUGGAGAGGCCCGCGUCUUUUUAGCUAGGUGGUAAUGUAACGGCCCACCAAGGCAACGAUCAUUAGCUGGUCUGAGAGGAUGAUCAGCCACACUGGGAGUGAGACACGGCCGGGACUCCUAGGGGAGGCAGCAGUGGGGAAUCUUGCGCAAUGGGCGAAAGCAUGACGCAGUCAGGCCGCGUGAAUCAUUAAGGUGUGAGGAAUGUGAAAUUCUUUCAGCGGGGACGAUAAUGACGGUACCCUAAGAAGAAGCUCCGGCUAACUUCGUG
Molecule: ribosomal RNA, 433 nt
Filed under: uncultured bacterium
Lineage: Bacteria
Description: partial 16S ribosomal RNA
Rfam family: Bacterial small subunit ribosomal RNA
Source: RNAcentral